UGGGGAAUAUUGGACAAUGGGCGAAAGCCUGAUCCAGCCAUGCCGCGUGUGUGAAGAAGGUCUUCGGAUUGUAAAGCACUUUAAGUUGGGAGGAAGGGUUGUAGAUUAAUACUCUGCAAUUUUGACGUUACCGACAGAAUAAGCACCGGCUAACUCUGUGCCAGCAGCCGCGGUAAUACAGAGGGUGCAAGCGUUAAUCGGAAUUACUGGGCGUAAAGCGCGCGUAGGUGGUUAGUUAAGUUGGAUGUGAAAUCCCCGGGCUCAACCUGGGAACUGCAUUCAAAACUGACUGACUAGAGUAUGGUAGAGGGUGGUGGAAUUUCCUGUGUAGCGGUGAAAUGCGUAGAUAUAGGAAGGAACACCGGUGGCGAAGGCGACCACCUGGACUGAUACUGACACUGAGGUGCGAAAGCGUGGGGAGCAAAACAGGAUUAGAUACCCUGGUAGUCCACGCCGUAAACGAUGUCAACUAGCCGUUGGGGAGCCUUGAGCUCUUAGUGGCGCAGCUAACGCAUUAAGUUGACCGCCUGGGGAGUACGGCCGCAAGGUUAAAACUCAAA
This 560-nucleotide ribosomal RNA is filed under the name uncultured bacterium. RNAcentral's name for it is "partial 16S ribosomal RNA". It matches the Rfam family "Bacterial small subunit ribosomal RNA", at positions 355 to 905 of the family's 1533-position model. The record is from RNAcentral.